AAGAAUUGAAGAGAUCGGAGACAAUCAACGAGAACAGCAUAAGCAGAUAAGAGCCGCUUUAGAAAAUGAAGAAAAUGAUAUCAAAGGACUCAUAAAACGGGUAAAUGAGAUGGAUGGAUCCACCCAAAGGACAAG
Cyprinodon tularosa is the source of this 135-nucleotide long non-coding RNA. RefSeq lists it as uncharacterized. The record is from RefSeq and is a predicted model, not a curated record. NCBI's taxonomy places the organism in Eukaryota, Metazoa, Chordata, Actinopteri, Cyprinodontiformes, Cyprinodontidae. The transcript has 3 exons.